RNAcentral lists this ribosomal RNA (525 nucleotides) under Bacillus pumilus. RNAcentral describes it as "bacterial SSU rRNA". It matches the Rfam family "Bacterial small subunit ribosomal RNA", at positions 556 to 1080 of the family's 1533-position model. The record is from RNAcentral. Lineage: Bacteria; Bacillati; Bacillota; Bacilli; Caryophanales; Bacillaceae.
GGGCGUAAGGGCUCGCAGGCGGUUUCUUAAGUCUGAUGUGAAAGCCCCCGGCUCAACCGGGGAGGGUCAUUGGAAACUGGGAAACUUGAGUGCAGAAGAGGAGAGUGGAAUUCCACGUGUAGCGGUGAAAUGCGUAGAGAUGUGGAGGAACACCAGUGGCGAAGGCGACUCUCUGGUCUGUAACUGACGCUGAGGAGCGAAAGCGUGGGGAGCGAACAGGAUUAGAUACCCUGGUAGUCCACGCCGUAAACGAUGAGUGCUAAGUGUUAGGGGGUUUCCGCCCCUUAGUGCUGCAGCUAACGCAUUAAGCACUCCGCCUGGGGAGUACGGUCGCGAGACUGAAACUCAAAGGAAUUGACGGGGGCCCGCACAAGCGGUGGAUCAUGUGGUUUAAUUCAAAGCAACGCGAAGAACCUUACCAGGUCUUGACAUCCUCUGACAACCCUAGAGAUAGGGCUUUCCCUUCGGGGACAGAGUGACAGGUGGUGCAUGGUUGUCGUCAACUCGUGUCGUGAGAUGUUGGGU